CGGGGCGUGGCGCAGUCUGGUAGCGCACCUCGUUCGGGACGAGGGGGUCGGAGGUUCGAAUCCUCUCGCCCCGACCA
RNAcentral lists this transfer RNA (77 nucleotides) under Pseudomonadota bacterium. RNAcentral's name for it is "Proteobacteria bacterium tRNA-Pro". It matches the Rfam family "tRNA". Rfam says of the family: Transfer RNA (tRNA) molecules are approximately 80 nucleotides in length. Their secondary structure includes four short double-helical elements and three loops (D, anti-codon, and T loops). Further hydrogen bonds mediate the characteristic L-shaped molecular structure. tRNAs have two regions of fundamental functional importance: the anti-codon, which is responsible for specific mRNA codon recognition, and the 3' end, to which the tRNAs corresponding amino acid is attached (by aminoacyl-tRNA synthetases). tRNAs cope with the degeneracy of the genetic code in two manners: having more than one tRNA (with a specific anti-codon) for a particular amino acid; and 'wobble' base-pairing, i.e. permitting non-standard base-pairing at the 3rd anti-codon position. Lineage: Bacteria; Pseudomonadati; Pseudomonadota. RNAcentral also lists the same sequence under 2 other names. The record is from RNAcentral.